ACUGUUACAUUUCCAAUUACUUUUCCAAGGUAUAAAAUGCAGCUGGAUAUUACUUAAAAUUAAUUUCAAUAUAAGUCCUUUUUUUCCUCAAUUUUCAAUUUUGUUCUGUGGAGCUACAAUUUUGUUUAAUUACAGCUGAAAUCUCGCACAACUGAAAUGUCGCACUUGAGCUCCCCUAUUAGAUCUGUCACACUUGAGCUCCUCCAUUAGUUAUGUUGGAUAAUUAUAACUUGACGUACUCUAGGGUUUAUUCUCAUUGAUAUUGUUUGGAAUUGAAUAUUGAAGCAUAUCGUUAUGAUUUCCCCAGAAAUUAUUACGAAAUUGGGUUUCUAUCAAAAAUUAGAUUGAGGAACAAUGCGGGGGAUCAAAUUUGAAUGGUGGGUGCCACAACUCAACUUGAUCUAGAUUGAAGUGAAUGAUGAAGAAUUUUUGAAAUAUUUUGAUAUACGUUUAUAUAUAUUUGGUUUUGUGUGAAACUUGGUACAAAUUUUUAUUAUGUUGUUUUCUACUUAGUAUGUAAAAGACAUGUUUCUUUGAAAUCAAAUCUAUGCACUUUAAUUAUUUAUUAGCUAA
This is a long non-coding RNA of Capsicum annuum, 573 nucleotides long. RefSeq lists it as uncharacterized. Lineage: Eukaryota; Viridiplantae; Streptophyta; Magnoliopsida; Solanales; Solanaceae. The record is from RefSeq and is a predicted model, not a curated record. The transcript has 2 exons.